Long non-coding RNA from Alligator mississippiensis (American alligator), 922 nucleotides. RefSeq lists it as uncharacterized. NCBI's taxonomy places the organism in Eukaryota, Metazoa, Chordata, Crocodylia, Alligatoridae. The record is from RefSeq and is a predicted model, not a curated record. The transcript is spliced from 3 exons.
GCUUGAACGAGGCUGAUGAUGGGAGAGCUCACAGCCAGGAGGCUAGCUAGCCAUUGAGGAGCCCGCUGCCAGCAAACAAUGACAGCGAGCUUCAGGCAGGACCAGCCCUGGGAGGGCAACUCACCUAAGGAGCAGGAGCAGAGCAGCAAACUGCAACAGGCCAGACAGGAAGGCAGCCUAAAAGCAAAGGGCUGAAGACUGUUGAGCUAAGCCCUAGCUGGGAAAGCAGGCGGGUCAGCAGGCGCAGGAAGGGCACACCUGUGGCCUGGUGGCUUUGAGGACAAAUGCCACACUGGAAGGAUGAUGCAUAACACCGGUCCUGAGAGUCCAACUCCACCAGUGCUCCAAGGAAUACCAGCAAAACUAUCGUCAUCCGGCAUUGCCUUCUGAGUCUACUGCUCCAGAGUUUGCUCACCAGCACCUCCGCACUGGCCCAGAUGGGGAAGCUGAGUCACAGAGUAAUCGACAGCAAAAGGACAGUGACAAAGCUGGAAAGGGAGCCCAGCAAUCAUGAUGGAAAGUCCCCUGCUAGAACCACCGAGUAUCGGUAUCUAAGAACUCGCAUAGCUUUACUGGGAUGGAUUCUGUGUGCAGCGGUCUGCUUCACCUCUUACAAAUGGACCACAAGAUUAUUUCAGGCUCAGACCCUGUGGGGAGUUGCAAGCCAUCUGCAAAGCCCCAAGUCCUCAACUGGGAGUUGGCAGGCAGCAUCCUGCAGGUGACACAGCAUCUUGCAGAAUCUGGCCCCUUCUAACCUACUUACACGAGAUUAUUAAGGAACACUACUACCUCUGGGAACCUUUUAACACAUAUUAAAGGGCUUCAAAAUUAAAUUGUAAUUGAAUAUAGAGUAAGCAGGAUAACGGCUUCACUGCAAGAAUCGGGAUGCAGAGUUAACUCAGAGCAUUUUUCAUUUCAUGAA